AGGGCAGACUGAAAAAGGUGAAUCGUGACAAGCUAAUUGGUGACGAUUCACCUUCUUCAGUCUGCCCU
Nematostella vectensis (starlet sea anemone) is the source of this 68-nucleotide non-coding RNA. The record is from Rfam. Lineage: Eukaryota; Metazoa; Cnidaria; Anthozoa; Actiniaria; Edwardsiidae.